RNAcentral lists this ribosomal RNA (2922 nucleotides) under Bacillus cereus. RNAcentral's name for it is "23S ribosomal RNA". It matches the Rfam family "Bacterial large subunit ribosomal RNA". The record is from RNAcentral. Lineage: Bacteria; Bacillati; Bacillota; Bacilli; Caryophanales; Bacillaceae.
GGUUAAGUUAGAAAGGGCGCACGGUGGAUGCCUUGACACUAGGAGUCGAUGAAGGACGGGACUAACGCCGAUAUGCUUCGGGGAGCUGUAAGUAAGCUUUGAUCCGAAGAUUUCCGAAUGGGGAAACCCACCAUACGUAAUGGUAUGGUAUCCUUAUCUGAAUACAUAGGAUAAGGAAGACAGACCCAGGGAACUGAAACAUCUAAGUACCUGGAGGAAGAGAAAGCAAAUGCGAUUUCCUGAGUAGCGGCGAGCGAAACGGAACAUAGCCCAAACCAAGAGGCUUGCCUCUUGGGGUUGUAGGACAUUCUAUACGGAGUUACAAAGGAACGAGGUAGACGAAGCGACCUGGAAAGGUCCGUCGUAGAGGGUAACAACCCCGUAGUCGAAACUUCGUUCUCUCUUGAAUGUAUCCUGAGUACGGCGGAACACGUGAAAUUCCGUCGGAAUCUGGGAGGACCAUCUCCCAAGGCUAAAUACUCCCUAGUGAUCGAUAGUGAACCAGUACCGUGAGGGAAAGGUGAAAAGCACCCCGGAAGGGGAGUGAAAGAGAUCCUGAAACCGUGUGCCUACAAAUAGUCAGAGCCCGUUAACGGGUGAUGGCGUGCCUUUUGUAGAAUGAACCGGCGAGUUACGAUCCCGUGCGAGGUUAAGCUGAAGAGGCGGAGCCGCAGCGAAAGCGAGUCUGAAUAGGGCGUUUAGUAUGUGGUCGUAGACCCGAAACCAGGUGAUCUACCCAUGUCCAGGGUGAAGUUCAGGUAACACUGAAUGGAGGCCCGAACCCACGCACGUUGAAAAGUGCGGGGAUGAGGUGUGGGUAGCGGAGAAAUUCCAAUCGAACCUGGAGAUAGCUGGUUCUCCCCGAAAUAGCUUUAGGGCUAGCCUUAAGUGUAAGAGUCUUGGAGGUAGAGCACUGAUUGGACUAGGGGUCCUCAUCGGAUUACCGAAUUCAGUCAAACUCCGAAUGCCAAUGACUUAUCCUUAGGAGUCAGACUGCGAGUGAUAAGAUCCGUAGUCAAAAGGGAAACAGCCCAGACCGCCAGCUAAGGUCCCAAAGUGUGUAUUAAGUGGAAAAGGAUGUGGAGUUGCUUAGACAACUAGGAUGUUGGCUUAGAAGCAGCCACCAUUUAAAGAGUGCGUAAUAGCUCACUAGUCGAGUGACUCUGCGCCGAAAAUGUACCGGGGCUAAAUACACCACCGAAGCUGCGGAUUGAUACCAAUGGUAUCAGUGGUAGGGGAGCGUUCUAAGGACAGUGAAGUCAGACCGGAAGGACUGGUGGAGUGCUUAGAAGUGAGAAUGCCGGUAUGAGUAGCGAAAGACGGGUGAGAAUCCCGUCCACCGAAUGCCUAAGGUUUCCUGAGGAAGGCUCGUCCGCUCAGGGUUAGUCAGGACCUAAGCCGAGGCCGACAGGCGUAGGCGAUGGACAACAGGUUGAUAUUCCUGUACCACCUCUUUAUCGUUUGAGCAAUGGAGGGACGCAGAAGGAUAGAAGAAGCGUGCGAUUGGUUGUGCACGUCCAAGCAGUUAGGCUGAUAAGUAGGCAAAUCCGCUUAUCGUAAAGGCUGAGCUGUGAUGGGGAAGCUCCUUAUGGAGCGAAGUCUUUGAUUCCCCGCUGCCAAGAAAAGCUUCUAGCGAGAUAAAAGGUGCCUGUACCGCAAACCGACACAGGUAGGCGAGGAGAGAAUCCUAAGGUGUGCGAGAGAACUCUGGUUAAGGAACUCGGCAAAAUGACCCCGUAACUUCGGGAGAAGGGGUGCUUUCUUAACGGAAAGCCGCAGUGAAUAGGCCCAAGCGACUGUUUAGCAAAAACACAGCUCUCUGCGAAGCCGUAAGGCGAAGUAUAGGGGGUGACACCUGCCCGGUGCUGGAAGGUUAAGGAGAGGGGUUAGCGUAAGCGAAGCUCUGAACUGAAGCCCCAGUAAACGGCGGCCGUAACUAUAACGGUCCUAAGGUAGCGAAAUUCCUUGUCGGGUAAGUUCCGACCCGCACGAAAGGUGUAACGAUUUGGGCACUGUCUCAACCAGAGACUCGGUGAAAUUAUAGUACCUGUGAAGAUGCAGGUUACCCGCGACAGGACGGAAAGACCCCGUGGAGCUUUACUGUAGCCUGAUAUUGAAUUUUGGUACAGUUUGUACAGGAUAGGCGGGAGCCAUUGAAACCGGAGCGCUAGCUUCGGUGGAGGCGCUGGUGGGAUACCGCCCUGACUGUAUUGAAAUUCUAACCUACGGGUCUUAUCGACCCGGGAGACAGUGUCAGGUGGGCAGUUUGACUGGGGCGGUCGCCUCCUAAAGUGUAACGGAGGCGCCCAAAGGUUCCCUCAGAAUGGUUGGAAAUCAUUCGUAGAGUGCAAAGGCAUAAGGGAGCUUGACUGCGAGACCUACAAGUCGAGCAGGGACGAAAGUCGGGCUUAGUGAUCCGGUGGUUCCGCAUGGAAGGGCCAUCGCUCAACGGAUAAAAGCUACCCCGGGGAUAACAGGCUUAUCUCCCCCAAGAGUCCACAUCGACGGGGAGGUUUGGCACCUCGAUGUCGGCUCAUCGCAUCCUGGGGCUGUAGUCGGUCCCAAGGGUUGGGCUGUUCGCCCAUUAAAGCGGUACGCGAGCUGGGUUCAGAACGUCGUGAGACAGUUCGGUCCCUAUCCGUCGUGGGCGUAGGAAAUUUGAGAGGAGCUGUCCUUAGUACGAGAGGACCGGGAUGGACGCACCGCUGGUGUACCAGUUGUUCUGCCAAGGGCAUAGCUGGGUAGCUAUGUGCGGAAGGGAUAAGUGCUGAAAGCAUCUAAGCAUGAAGCCCCCCUCAAGAUGAGAUUUCCCAUAGCGUAAGCUAGUAAGAUCCCUGAAAGAUGAUCAGGUUGAUAGGUUCGAGGUGGAAGCAUGGUGACAUGUGGAGCUGACGAAUACUAAUAGAUCGAGGACUUAACCAU